This 484-nucleotide ribosomal RNA is filed under the name uncultured bacterium. Its description in RNAcentral is "partial 16S ribosomal RNA". It matches the Rfam family "Bacterial small subunit ribosomal RNA", at positions 30 to 507 of the family's 1533-position model. The record is from RNAcentral.
AUUGAACGCUGGCGGCAGGCCUAACACAUGCAAGUCGAGCGGAUGAAGGGAGCUUGCUCCUGGAUUCAGCGGCGGACGGGUGAGUAAUGCCUAGGAAUCUGCCUGGUAGUGGGGGAUAACGUCCGGAAACGGGCGCUAAUACCGCCUACGACCUGAGGGAGAAAGUGGGGGAUCUUCGGACCUCACGCUAUCAGAUGAGCCUAGGUCGGAUUAGCUAGCUGGUGGGGUAAAGGCCUACCAAGCCGACGAUCCGUAACUGGUCUGAGAGGAUGAUCAGUCACACUGGAACUGGGACAGCGUCCAGACGCCUGCGGGAGGCAGCAGUGGGGAAUAUUGGACAAUGGGGGAAAGCCUGAUCCAGCCAUGCCGCGUGUGUGAAGAAGGUCUUCGGAUUGUAAAGCACGUUAAGUUGUGAGGAAGGGCAGUAAGUUAAUACCAUGCUGGUGUGACGUUACCAACAGAAUAAGCACCGGCUAACUUCGUG